Molecule: ribosomal RNA, 332 nt
Filed under: uncultured bacterium
Lineage: Bacteria
Description: bacterial SSU rRNA
Rfam family: Bacterial small subunit ribosomal RNA
Source: RNAcentral
CGUGUAGGCGGGGAUGUAAGUCAGAUGUGAAAUACCCAGGCUUAACUUGGGGACUGCAUCUGAAACUAUAUUUCUUGAGUGUCGGAGAGGAAAGUGGAAUUCCCAGUGUAGCGGUGAAAUGCGUAGAUAUUGGGAGGAACACCAGUGGCGAAGGCGACUUUCUGGACGAUAACUGACGCUGAGGCGCGAAAGCGUGGGGAGCAAACAGGAUUAGAUACCCUGGUAGUCCACGCUGUAAACGAUGGAUACUAGGUGUAGGAGGUAUCGACCCCUUCUGUGCCGGAGUUAACACAAUAAGUAUCCCACCUGGGGAGUACGGCCGCAAGGUUGAA